RNAcentral lists this ribosomal RNA (223 nucleotides) under uncultured Staphylococcus sp. Its description in RNAcentral is "partial 16S ribosomal RNA". It matches the Rfam family "Bacterial small subunit ribosomal RNA", at positions 401 to 618 of the family's 1533-position model. Lineage: Bacteria; Bacillati; Bacillota; Bacilli; Caryophanales; Staphylococcaceae. The record is from RNAcentral.
GAGUGAUGAAGGUCUUCGGAUCGUAAAACUCUGUUAUUAGGGAAGAACAAAUGUGUAAGUAACUAUGCACGUCUUGACGGUACCUAAUCAGAAAGCCACGGCUAACUACGUGCCAGCAGCCGCGGUAAUACGUAGGUGGCAAGCGUUAUCCGGAAUUAUUGGGCGUAAAGCGCGCGUAGGCGGUUUUUUAAGUCUGAUGUGAAAGCCCACGGCUCAACCGUGG